GGGUUGUGAGGUUAAGCGACUAAGCGUACACGGUGGAUGCCCUGGCAGUCAGAGGCGAUGAAGGACGUGCUAAUCUGCGAAAAGCGUCGGUAAGGUGAUAUGAACCGUUAUAACCGGCGAUGUCCGAAUGGGGAAACCCAGUGCAAUUCGUUGCACUAUCGUUAACUGAAUACAUAGGUUAACGAGGCGAACCGGGGGAACUGAAACAUCUAAGUACCCCGAGGAAAAGAAAUCAACCGAGAUUCCCCCAGUAGCGGCGAGCGAACGGGGAGCAGCCCAGAGUCUGAAUCAGCUUGUGUGUUAGUGGAACGGUCUGGAAAGUCCGACGGUACAGGGUGAUAGUCCCGUACACCAAAAUGCACAGGUUGUGAACUCGAAGAGUAGGGCGGGACACGUGGUAUCCUGUCUGAAUAUGGGGGGACCAUCCUCCAAGGCUAAAUACUCCUGACUGACCGAUAGUGAACCAGUACCGUGAGGGAAAGGCGAAAAGAACCCCGGCGAGGGGAGUGAAAAAGAACCUGAAACCGUGUACGUACAAGCAGUGGGAGCACCUUCGGGUGUGACUGCGUACCUUUUGUAUAAUGGGUCAGCGACUUAUAUUCUGUAGCAAGGUUAACCGUAUAGGGGAGCCGCAGGGAAACCGAGUCUUAACUGGGCGUUAAGUUGCAGGGUAUAGACCCGAAACCCGGUGAUCUAGCCAUGGGCAGGUUGAAGGUUGGGUAACACUAACUGGAGGACCGAACCGACUAAUGUUGAAAAAUUAGCGGAUGACUUGUGGCUGGGGGUGAAAGGCCAAUCAAACCGGGAGAUAGCUGGUUCUCCCCGAAAGCUAUUUAGGUAGCGCCUCGUGAAUUCAUCUUCGGGGGUAGAGCACUGUUUCGGCUAGGGGGUCAUCCCGACUUACCAACCCGAUGCAAACUACGAAUACCGAAGAAUGUUAUCACGGGAGACACACGGCGGGUGCUAACGUCCGUCGUGAAGAGGGAAACAACCCAGACCGCCAGCUAAGGUCCCAAAGUCAUGGUUAAGUGGGAAACGAUGUGGGAAGGCACAGACAGCCAGGAUGUUGGCUUAGAAGCAGCCAUCAUUUAAAGAAAGCGUAAUAGCUCACUGGUCGAGUCGGCCUGCGCGGAAGAUGUAACGGGGCUAAACCAUGCACCGAAGCUGCGGCAGCGACACUAUGUGUUGUUGGGUAGGGGAGCGUUCUGUAAGCCUGCGAAGGUGACCUGUGAGGGUUGCUGGAGGUAUCAGAAGUGCGAAUGCUGACAUAAGUAACGAUAAAGCGGGUGAAAAGCCCGCUCGCCGGAAGACCAAGGGUUCCUGUCCAACGUUAAUCGGGGCAGGGUGAGUCGACCCCUAAGGCGAGGCCGAAAGGCGUAGUCGAUGGGAAACAGGUUAAUAUUCCUGUACUUGGUGUUACUGCGAAGGGGGGACGGAGAAGGCUAUGUUAGCCGGGCGACGGUUGUCCCGGUUUAAGCAUGUAGGCUGAUUGUCCAGGCAAAUCCGGAUAAUCAAGGCUGAGGUGUGAUGACGAGGCACUACGGUGCUGAAGUAACAAAUGCCCUGCUUCCAGGAAAAGCCUCUAAGCAUCAGGUAACAUCAAAUCGUACCCCAAACCGACACAGGUGGUCAGGUAGAGAAUACCAAGGCGCUUGAGAGAACUCGGGUGAAGGAACUAGGCAAAAUGGUGCCGUAACUUCGGGAGAAGGCACGCUGGUGUGUAGGUGAAGUCCCUGCGGAUGGAGCUGAGACCAGUCGAAGAUACCAGCUGGCUGCAACUGUUUAUUAAAAACACAGCACUGUGCAAACACGAAAGUGGACGUAUACGGUGUGACGCCUGCCCGGUGCCGGAAGGUUAAUUGAUGGGGUUAUCCGUAAGGAGAAGCUCUUGAUCGAAGCCCCGGUAAACGGCGGCCGUAACUAUAACGGUCCUAAGGUAGCGAAAUUCCUUGUCGGGUAAGUUCCGACCUGCACGAAUGGCGUAAUGAUGGCCAGGCUGUCUCCACCCGAGACUCAGUGAAAUUGAACUCGCUGUGAAGAUGCAGUGUACCCGCGGCAAGACGGAAAGACCCCGUGAACCUUUACUAUAGCUUGACACUGAACAUUGAGCCUUGAUGUGUAGGAUAGGUGGGAGGCUUUGAAGCGUGGACGCCAGUCUGCGUGGAGCCAACCUUGAAAUACCACCCUUUAAUGUUUGAUGUUCUAACGUUGGCCCCUUACCGGGGUUGCGGACAGUGUCUGGUGGGUAGUUUGACUGGGGCGGUCUCCUCCCAAAGCGUAACGGAGGAGCACGAAGGUUAGCUAAUCCUGGUCGGACAUCAGGAGGUUAGUGCAAUGGCAUAAGCUAGCUUGACUGCGAGCGUGACGGCGCGAGCAGGUGCGAAAGCAGGUCAUAGUGAUCCGGUGGUUCUGAAUGGAAGGGCCAUCGCUCAACGGAUAAAAGGUACUCCGGGGAUAACAGGCUGAUACCGCCCAAGAGUUCAUAUCGACGGCGGUGUUUGGCACCUCGAUGUCGGCUCAUCACAUCCUGGGGCUGAAGUAGGUCCCAAGGGUAUGGCUGUUCGCCAUUUAAAGUGGUACGCGAGCUGGGUUUAGAACGUCGUGAGACAGUUCGGUCCCUAUCUGCCGUGGGCGCUGGAGAAUUGAGGGGGGCUGCUCCUAGUACGAGAGGACCGGAGUGGACGCAUCACUGGUGUUCGGGUUGUCAUGCCAAUGGCACUGCCCGGUAGCUAAAUGCGGAAGAGAUAAGUGCUGAAAGCAUCUAAGCACGAAACUUGCCCCGAGAUGAGUUCUCCCUGAGACUUUAAGUCUCCUGAAGGAACGUUAAAGACGAUGACGUUGAUAGGCCGGGUGUGUAAGCGCAGCGAUGCGUUGAGCUAACCGGUACUAAUGAACCGUGAGGCUUAACCUUACAACGCCGAAG
RNAcentral lists this ribosomal RNA (2923 nucleotides) under Klebsiella pneumoniae. Its description in RNAcentral is "bacterial LSU rRNA". It matches the Rfam family "Bacterial large subunit ribosomal RNA". Lineage: Bacteria; Pseudomonadati; Pseudomonadota; Gammaproteobacteria; Enterobacterales; Enterobacteriaceae. The record is from RNAcentral.